Molecule: long non-coding RNA, 253 nt
Filed under: Elaeis guineensis (African oil palm)
Lineage: Eukaryota; Viridiplantae; Streptophyta; Magnoliopsida; Arecales; Arecaceae
Description: long non-coding RNA (EGUI_LNC028763)
Source: RNAcentral
GUGGUUGGAGGACUAGCAGCAGACGGCAGGCUGUGGCAGAUGAUGGGUGGCAACGUGCACAACCGACGAUAGGGAUUGACUGGCAAGAAAAUUAAUCAUGAAAAAUAGGAUCGAAAAAUAGGGGAUCCAUGACUUUUUUUUUGUUUUGGCUAUUGGUUGAUCAUCGAUAGCGAUAGUCUUACCACAAAGGCGCAUAGGGAGGCUGGAUAACUUGACUACCGAUCUGAUAUCAACGAACGAUGGUGUUGGUGGC